Long non-coding RNA from Esox lucius (northern pike), 2008 nucleotides. NCBI's taxonomy places the organism in Eukaryota, Metazoa, Chordata, Actinopteri, Esociformes, Esocidae. The record is from Ensembl.
CCAAAACAAGGUUAUUCAUUCUGCAACCAUUUAUUUCCUUGGUUUAUUCCCCUCAUAAACCUGUGUAAGGUGAACAGACAUAUUCCCUCUCCUCUGGUUGCCUAGCGAUGAUGGGGCCCAUCCCUGACCCCACCCCCACCCACCAACACACAAACACACACACCACUUGGUGCCCUCAUCUCCAUCCCUCUCCCCGUCUCCACCCUAAACAUAACGCCUUAGCUGUUAAACCUGAACUGUCCUUAACGUUUAUCCAUCAAACUCCCUGCGGUCGCUGCCUCCAUCCACAGACUAACAGUUGAUAUACAGUGUGUUACCAUUGUGAGCAAAGUAUAUAAAUAAACCUGAAUUCAUAUAGCGACUGGUAUGGGUGAGAAGUCAGAAAUGUAAGCUUCAACACGUUUAACAGGUUGUGAAUCUAAUCAAUUAGCCUACCGAUGACUCAUCAUUGACUCACGAACCAUGCGCGGUUUAACACAACACACACAGCGCUGUAUAACACAACACAUCACUGUAAAGCAGGACACACCAUUGUAUUAUUCAUAACAUUUUCAGGUUAACAUUUGCAGGUGCAUGUCAUUUUCACUGCGCCUGUGACAAAGGGAAACGAUAGCAGCAAAUUCCAAACCACUAAGCGGCAGCGGCGGAAGGAGGACUGUCAGGCAGAGCAGGAGGACCACGGAGCUACAGCUAGCAGUCAGAGGGCCCGACAUCUUUCAGCAGAGAUGAGGCUGCCCCAAACGAAGAGAAGACACUGACUAACCGCAAGACGCAACAGGGAGAUGGAGAGAUGGAGGCUGGGGUGAAUAGAGGAGGAGGGCGGAGCUAAGCAUCCACAGAGAAUGGGAGGGGAGGGACGUGAGCCAGAAAGACGGAUGGAUAAAGGAGGGAGGGUAGACUAGGGUGCUGAUAUGAGAAAUGUGCUAUGGGGAGUUAAGGAAAGGAACAGUGAAGAAAAACAGGCCCAUACAUAUGAUAGUUUGUAUCUGUUCUUUGUAAACACUGGUCCGAAUGGCACAACCCUUCGCGUAAACGCGCACAAACUAUUCUUCCUUGUGGAGAUGUUAACCCUUCACCCCGUUGUCAAUUUAGCCUACGUUCUUGCGAUUACAUAUUUUUCUGCCUUCGGUCGAAUCGUCUUUUCUCAAAACCAAGUUUCGAGCCUCUAUUGGCGUGGAGGCGGGGCUUUAUCUCUGAAUUGUCAAUAUUAGCCUUUCCAUGCGCUGCUUUACCAAUGUAGUCCUGGAGAGAAGUUUAAGAAUUGUAUAAACUACGCUAAAUGUGUACAUUUAAACAGAAUAAUAAACUGUUAUUCCCAGGUGGCACCGUCACUGUUGCCAUGGUCACAGAUAUUGAUUACAUUUUAACGUGUUCUGGUGAGUUAGACAGGGGAUAAUUACCAUUUUGCUCUUAAAGCCUAGGGACAUGAACCUAUAAACUUUUAUAAACCUUUACCGCAUGUGAAUUUCGGUUUUUUUUGCCACCACAAUAACGGCAAUUUACAUUAACUACAUAUUAAAUUAACAUCGAUAGUAAUUUAUUUGUUAAAUAAACCAUAGUACACACUGUGCGCUGAUAGGGCUGGCGACCCGUGAGUCUGCCAUGUUUGGACUCUGGUCACCCUUCACCUGGGUGGAGAUUAUGUUGAUGCGGGAUAUAAUGCCGCAAUAAGCAAAACACGCUAAACGUUCAUCAAUAUCUGUGUCUGUGACCAUGGCAACAGUGACGUCUAAGCAACUUGUGAAUAACACUUUAUUAUUCUGUUUACAGUUUUUCUCAAUUGAUUUGGUACAUUUCUCCAAACUCAGGUAACUACUCUCAAAACAUUUAACACGGUGAUGUGUACACUUUGUAAUUGUCCUUAAACCAAUUUUCCUUAAUUUCAUACAAAUUACAAAUCAAAUGCAUCAUUUUCUCAAAACACUGUGCACAAAAUUCCCUAAUGUUAUCACAGCAGUUCAUACAGACAACUCAUUGUUAUACACCUGAACUCCUCAUUAAAGAACUU